RNAcentral lists this ribosomal RNA (245 nucleotides) under uncultured bacterium. RNAcentral's name for it is "partial 16S ribosomal RNA". It matches the Rfam family "Bacterial small subunit ribosomal RNA", at positions 524 to 768 of the family's 1533-position model. The record is from RNAcentral.
UACGUAGGGGGCAAGCGUUGUUCGGAAUCACUGGGCGUAAAGGGAGUGUAGGUGGAGAGACAAGUUAGGAGUUUAAACUAUGGGCUUAACCCAUAAUCUGCUCUUAAUACUGUUUCCCUUGAGUUUGGGAGAGGGCGAUGGAAUUCCAGGUGUAGCGGUGGAAUGCGUAGAUAUCUGGAAGAACACCAGCUGCGAAGGCGGUCGCCUGGCCCAUUACUGACACUGAGGCUCGAAAGCCGGGGGAG